AACGUAGGGGGCGAGCGUUGUCCGGAAUUACUGGGCGUAAAGGGCGCGUAGGCGGUUAUUUAAGUCAGAGGUGAAAACUACCGGCUUAACCGGUAGCCUGCCUUUGAAACUGGAUGACUUGAGGGCAGGAGAGGGGAGUGGAAUUCCCAGUGUAGCGGUGAAAUGCGUAGAUAUUGGGAGGAACACCAGUGGCGAAGGCGGCUCUCUGGCCUGUUUCUGACGCUGAGGCGCGAAAGCGUGGGGAGCAAACGGG
RNAcentral lists this ribosomal RNA (253 nucleotides) under uncultured Pelotomaculum sp. RNAcentral's name for it is "partial 16S ribosomal RNA". It matches the Rfam family "Bacterial small subunit ribosomal RNA", at positions 524 to 776 of the family's 1533-position model. Lineage: Bacteria; Bacillati; Bacillota; Clostridia; Eubacteriales; Desulfotomaculaceae. The record is from RNAcentral.